This 421-nucleotide ribosomal RNA is filed under the name uncultured prokaryote. RNAcentral's name for it is "bacterial SSU rRNA". It matches the Rfam family "Bacterial small subunit ribosomal RNA", at positions 355 to 796 of the family's 1533-position model. The record is from RNAcentral.
UGGGGAAUAUUGCGCAAUGGGCGGAAGCCUGACGCAGCCACGCCGCGUGAGCGAUGAAGGUCUUAGGAUCGUAAAGCUCUGUGACGAGAUCAAGGACGGUAGCAUAGGAAUAAGUCUCGGCUAACUACGUGCCAGCAGCCGCGGUAAAACGUAGGAGGCGAGCGUUAUCCGGAGUUACUGGGCGUAAAGCGCGUGUAGGCGGUGGUGCAGGUCGGAUGUGAAAGCUCCCAGGCUAAACCGGGAGAGGUCAUUCGAAACCGCAUCACUAGCGGGUGGCAGAGGCGUGUGGAAUUCCAGGUGUAGUGGUGAAAUGCGCAGAUAUCUGGAGGAACACCAGUGGCGAAGGCGGCACGCUGGGCCACACCGGACGCUGAGACGCGAAAGCAUGGGUAGCAAACGGGAUUAGAUACCCCUGUAGUCC